RNAcentral lists this non-coding RNA (22 nucleotides) under Mus musculus (house mouse). The record is from miRBase by way of RNAcentral. Lineage: Eukaryota; Metazoa; Chordata; Mammalia; Rodentia; Muridae.
UUUGCAGUAACAGGUGUGGACA